RNAcentral lists this ribosomal RNA (505 nucleotides) under uncultured bacterium. RNAcentral's name for it is "bacterial SSU rRNA". It matches the Rfam family "Bacterial small subunit ribosomal RNA", at positions 377 to 889 of the family's 1533-position model. The record is from RNAcentral.
GAAAGCCUGAUGCAGCGACGCCGCGUGAGGGAUGACGGCCUUCGGGUUGUAAACCUCUUUCAGCAGGGACGAAGCGCAAGUGACGGUACCUGCAGAAGAAGCACCUUGGGGCUAACUACGUGCCAGCAGCCGCGGUAAUACGUAGGGUGCAAGCGUUGUCCGGAAUUACUGGGCGUAAAGAGUUCGUAGGCGGUUUGUCGCGUCGUUUGUGAAAACCAGCAGCUCAACUGCUGGCUUGCAGGCGAUACGGGCAGACUUGAGUACUGCAGGGGAGACUGGAAUUCCUGGUGUAGCGGUGAAAUGCGCAGAUAUCAGGAGGAACACCGGUGGCGAAGGCGGGUCUCUGGGCAGUAACUGACGCUGAGGAACGAAAGCGUGGGUAGCGAACAGGAUUAGAUACCCUGGUAGUCCACGCCGUAAACGGUGGGCGCUAGGUGUGGGUUCCUUCCACGGAAUCCGUGCCGUAGCUAACGCAUUAAGCGCCCCGCCUGGGGAGUACGGCCGC